This 253-nucleotide ribosomal RNA is filed under the name uncultured bacterium. Its description in RNAcentral is "partial 16S ribosomal RNA". It matches the Rfam family "Bacterial small subunit ribosomal RNA", at positions 524 to 776 of the family's 1533-position model. The record is from RNAcentral.
UACAGAGGGUGCUAGCGUUGUUCGGAAUCAUUGGGCGUAAAGAGCGUGUAGGCGGCUAGGUAGGUCCGUUGUGAAAACUCGAGGCUCAACCUCGAGACGUCGAUGGAAACCAUCUAGCUAGAGUCCGGAAGAGGAGAGUGGAAUUCCUGGUGUAGCGGUGAAAUGCGCAGAUAUCAGGAAGAACACCCGUGGCGAAGGCGGCUCUCUGGUACGUGACUGACGCUGAGACGCGAAAGCGUGGGGAGCGAACAGG